GACGAACGCUGGCGGCGCGCUUAACACAUGCCAGUCGAACGGAAAGGCCUGCUUUCCCUUGUGGAUUGCGGGUACUCGAGUGGCGAACGGGUGAGUAACACGUGAGUGAUCUGCCCCCAACUUGGGUAUAAGCCUGGGAAACUGGGUCUAAUUCCCGAUAGGACUGCAGGGUGGUGCCUGUGGUGGAAAACGAUUUUCUAGUGGUUGGGGAUGAGCUCGCGGCCUAUCAGCUUGUUGGUGGGGUAAUGGCCUACCAAGGCGGCGACGGGUAGCCGGCCUGAGAGGGUGGACGGCCACAUUGGGACGGAGAUACGGCCCAGAAUACUACGGGAGGCAGCAGUGGGGAAUAUUGCACAAUGGGCGGAAGCCUGAUGCAGCGACGCCGCGUGGGGGAUGACGGCCUUCGGGUUGUAAACUCCUUUCGACCGCGAGGAAGCCACCUGGUUGGAAGGGUGGUGACGGUAGUGGUAGAAGAAGCACCGGCUAACUACGUG
Molecule: ribosomal RNA, 494 nt
Filed under: uncultured bacterium
Lineage: Bacteria
Description: partial 16S ribosomal RNA
Rfam family: Bacterial small subunit ribosomal RNA
Source: RNAcentral